GCCCCUGCGAAGUUGGUGGUGAUUGUGGUGGUGGAGCUAAUGACAUGUGUGCAGAAACUCUUCUGAAUGGGACUUCCCUGAUCCUGUUUUUACCUGAUCUUCAUGCUCAAUAGAAAAAGCCUCAGCUUUGGAAUCAGCUUCCCAGUGAACACCGAGAGUUGAGUUUAGCAACUGUUUGGACUGGCCAUGUAACAGGGCCGUCCAGGUAGCAUGGCAUGGUACUGGAACACUAUGUCUUCUCUCUGACCUCUCGGAAUAUCUCUGUGAUUCAAUGUGUUGGCCCAUUGGAGGCCCUGGUACCCGUAUAAGUCCCUGUUUUCAGUUAUUUCGGACUGGUUAAAACCUGGAGGUUUGAGAAACCCCUGAUCUUCUCCAUACUCUUCACAAGGGCAAUGGCUGGCCAAGAUUACAAAUUAGUGACUGUUGAGGCUGGAAUCUGUACCGAGGUCAUGGGAACCCCCUGCACUGCCCCUUCUAAUCACCCUCCUGCUUGGACCCUGGGAGUAUGACAAAGAGUCAGAUAAGACAACUGAGGCUGAAGAUCACACAACCAGUAAAUGGAACAGCCAGAAAUCAAAUGUUAUAUAUUGGCCCUGAAGUGGGGAUAAAGCAGCUAAAAGAAAGUGUACUUUACAUUAAAUUUUAAGGUAUCCAAAAGCAAAUCAAUAAGCCAUACUCUAGUUACAUUAAGAUAUUUUCACAAGUGCUAGGUUAAGUAAUAUAAAAUUACCAUUUUUGUAGGUCAAAAGUAAUGGAAUAUCAUGCUUGUAUAUGGUUUGAUCUAAUAUAUAUCAUUAUCAGGUUCUACUAAUACAGAGUUUUCUGCCUUUACUUAACCAUCACAAUAAACUAAGGACUUCCAAGCUAGUAAGAAUAAUGACACAGAUAAUAAUUAGAAAAGUAUUCAUAACAUUAUCAACAAACACUUCUACCAUUUUUUGAACAACUACUUCUAUGUAUAUUUUCACUGUAGUAAAAAAUCCCUAACAAAAAAUUUAUCAUCUUAAUCAUUUUAAGUGUACAGUUCAGUAGUGCUAAGUAUAUUUACAUUACUGUGAAACAGAUCUCUAGAACAUUUUAUCUUGCAAAUUUGAAACUCUGUACUCCUUAAACAAGAAGAACCCCAUGAGAGACCAUGUGGCUGGUGGUGUCAGAUUAUAGGCUUUUUCAAGAGAAGUCAAUCUGGAAUUUUGUGUAAAAUUUUCCAAGCUUUAAUGUUAGCUUUAAAAUAGCUUUAUCGAGAUAUAAUUCAAAUGCCAUAAAUCUAUCCAUUUAAAGUGUACAUUUUAACAGUUUUUAAUCACCCCCAAAGGAGACCUUGUACCAUUAAGCAGUCACUCCUCAUUCCCCCCUCCUCCCAGAUGCUAGUAACCACCAUUCUGUUUCCUGUUGCUAUGAAUUGACUACUUAAGUGCCAGUAGCCUAUCAUUUUUGAGUAUGUAAAUCUGCAAGGUGCAUUACACACUUUAAUCCUAACAAAACUACAAAUUAAGUGCUAUUAUUCUUACUUUAUAGUCUAGAAAAUGAAAAAGUUUUAGUAGAUACAAAGUUACAUCUGAAAGUAAUUAAUUGCUACGUAUUUUCAUAUCUGUUAUAUUCAAGUUAGAUAUGAAUGAGAAUAAUUUCUUCUAUAGAAAAGAUUUUUCAUAUAUUGGAUUAUUGUUAAGUAGUAGUGGUGUUGGUGGAUUCCCAAACAUCCAAAUAAUGGA
Molecule: long non-coding RNA, 1709 nt
Organism: Homo sapiens (human)
Lineage: Eukaryota; Metazoa; Chordata; Mammalia; Primates; Hominidae
Source: Ensembl